GAUGAACGCUAGCGGCAGGCCUAAUACAUGCAAGUCGAACGGUAAGUGGUGUAGCAAUACACUACGAGAGUGACGUAAGGGUGCGUAACAAGUAUGCAAUCUGCCCGUAACAGGAGGAUAGCUCCCCGAAAGGGGAAUCAACACUCCAUAAGAUGUGGAGGUGGCAUCACCAUCACAUUAAAUCUUCGGAGGUUACGGAUGAGCAUGCUUCUGAUUAGCUAGUUGGUGGUGUAACGGACCACCAAGGCGAUGAUCAGUAGGGGAACUGAGAGGUUGAUCCCCCACACUGGCACUGAGAUACGGGCCAGACUCCUACGGGAGGCAGCAGUAGGGAAUAUUGGACAAUGGGUGCAAGCCUGAUCCAGCCAUGCCGCGUGCAGGAAGAAGGCCUUCUGGGUUGUAAACUGCUUUUGCCGGGGGAUAAAAAGCCCAUGCGUGGGAAAUUGAAGGUACCCGGUGAAUAAGCCACGGCUAACUACGUGCC
This 484-nucleotide ribosomal RNA is filed under the name uncultured bacterium. RNAcentral's name for it is "bacterial SSU rRNA". It matches the Rfam family "Bacterial small subunit ribosomal RNA", at positions 28 to 509 of the family's 1533-position model. The record is from RNAcentral.